Saccostrea cuccullata (small rock oyster) is the source of this 498-nucleotide long non-coding RNA. RefSeq lists it as uncharacterized. The record is from RefSeq and is a predicted model, not a curated record. The transcript has 3 exons. NCBI's taxonomy places the organism in Eukaryota, Metazoa, Mollusca, Bivalvia, Ostreida, Ostreidae.
UUUAAAUUCUACGUAAUCCACCAGAGUCCAAGAGUUAACUCCCAGAGAGGGGUGGCAGUCCGAUUUUGUCAGCUUACUCGACUUGGAGAGGGAAGAUAAUUUACAUUUGGACAGUUACAUUUGACCAGAAUGUAUGCGAUGGGCUGCAUCAUGGUUUUGAAGGAAAAGGUUACACUAUUUAUUACAGACAGCAAGAAAACAUCAUUGAACACCACCAACUAAUAAGACUCCAAAGGAAUAAUGGAAAAUAAGAUAUUUAAAGCUGUCAAAAAGCAGAGAUUAGAGUUCAGUGGAUUCCAUGAUGGUACUUUGGAUAAUGUUAAUCAGGCAGCAAUUCUCUUCCCAAGGAUCUUAAGUGCUUUUAGAAGAGGCUAAUAAACAAAGGACAGUCACUUACUACAGAAGAGAAGCAGGGGAGAUUAGUGAUAUUCUGAGUGGCAUGACUGCACCUUACAAAGAUGUAAAACUUUAAAAAUUGUGUUUAAAUAUACAAUGACU